Molecule: ribosomal RNA, 1138 nt
Filed under: Rothia sp. (in: high G+C Gram-positive bacteria)
Lineage: Bacteria; Bacillati; Actinomycetota; Actinomycetes; Micrococcales; Micrococcaceae
Description: bacterial SSU rRNA
Rfam family: Bacterial small subunit ribosomal RNA
Source: RNAcentral
AUUGAACAUAAGAGUUUGAUCCUGGCUCAGAUUGAACGCUGGCGGCAUGCUUUACACAUGCAAGUCGGACGGCAGCACAGAGAAGCUUGCUUCUUGGGUGGCGAGUGGCGAACGGGUGAGUAAUAUAUCGGAACGUACCGAGUAAUGGGGGAUAACUAAUCGAAAGAUUAGCUAAUACCGCAUAUUCUCUGAGGAGGAAAGCAGGGGACCUUCGGGCCUUGCGUUAUUCGAGCGGCCGAUAUCUGAUUAGCUAGUUGGUGGGGUAAAGGCCUACCAAGGCGACGAUCAGUAGCGGGUCUGAGAGGAUGAUCCGCCACACUGGGACUGAGACACGGCCCAGACUCCUACGGGAGGCAGCAGUGGGGAAUACGUAGGGUGCGAGCGUUAAUCGGAAUUACUGGGCGUAAAGCGAGCGCAGACGGUUACUUAAGCAGGAUGUGAAAUCCCCGGGCUCAACCUGGGAACUGCGUUCUGAACUGGGUGACUAGAGUGUGUCAGAGGGAGGUAGAAUUCCACGUGUAGCAGUGAAAUGCGUAGAGAUGUGGAGGAAUACCGAUGGCGAAGGCAGCCUCCUGGGAUAACACUGACGUUCAUGCUCGAAAGCGUGGGUAGCAAACAGGAUUAGAUACCCUGGNNNNNNNNNGUGCAUGGUUGUCGUCAGCUCGUGUCGUGAGAUGUUGGGUUAAGUCCCGCAACGAGCGCAACCCUUGUCAUUAGUUGCCAUCAUUAAGUUGGGCACUCUAAUGAGACUGCCGGUGACAAGCCGGAGGAAGGUGGGGAUGACGUCAAGUCCUCAUGGCCCUUAUGACCAGGGCUUCACACGUCAUACAAUGGUCGGUACAGAGGGUAGCCAAGCCGCGAGGCGGAGCCAAUCUCACAAAACCGAUCGUAGUCCGGAUUGCACUCUGCAACUCGAGUGCAUGAAGUCGGAAUCGCUAGUAAUCGCAGGUCAGCAUACUGCGGUGAAUACGUUCCCGGGUCUUGUACACACCGCCCGUCACACCAUGGGAGUGGGGGAUACCAGAAGUAGGUAGGGUAACCGCAAGGAGCCCGCUUACCACGGUAUGCUUCAUGACUGGGGUGAAGUCGUAACAAGGUAGCCGUAGGGGAACCUGCGGCUGGAUCACCUCCUUUCUAG